Molecule: long non-coding RNA, 2566 nt
Organism: Orcinus orca (killer whale)
Lineage: Eukaryota; Metazoa; Chordata; Mammalia; Artiodactyla; Delphinidae
Exons: 3
Source: RefSeq, a predicted model, not a curated record
UGUGUGUUGGGAGCAUUUGCUAUUGUAUUUGGAAAGCAAAUCUUCUUUUAACACUUUCUCUUUAUUUAUCCCCUCUUUAUCUCCUCACAAAUAAGAAUGUCCCAAGAACGUCCAUCUUCCUUGAGGGUCUCCAAUCAUAAAAUUAGAGAAAAUUUCUGACUUCUAGAAUGUGAAUAUUUCCUCAUUUGGGGGUAGGGGGCUGAGAGGGAACCUAGUGACAUGGAGGUAUGUGUCCAGAGGACUAAUGUCCCUAGAACCAGCCCUGGUUUUUGCAGGCAUUUGGAAACACUCCUGGUAGAGCUAACUGUAAGUCUGCGGCAUGGUGGGAAGGUGUAACCAGUAUAGAUUCCAGCAUGGUCUCCGUGUGGAAUUAGCUUGAACCAGCUGAACAAGAUCAAAGCUACGAGAGACAAGUGCCAGGAGCACUUUCGUCUCAGAGGCUCGGAAUUGGGCAGGAUGGAGGCCAAUGCCUGGGGUGGGCGCGGGGUGGGGGCUUGGCACCCUUCCUGAAAGCACAAAUUUGGAUGGGGUGGUGAUUGGUGAGUCAGGCUGGCUGAAUAUGGUUCUGUCUUCCCAGGGCUUGUGUGGUGUUUCUCAGUGGCAGGAGCAGAGUUCAGAGACCUACCUCGUACAAGGGCCGAUGGGCGGGCAGCCUGGCCUCGCUGCCAAGACCUGUCUGUGCAGUUGUGCCCAGUGGGCAGCACAUGCGGUGAGGCAGGAUCCGGCAGGAAUGGCGGAUGGGCCAGGCUGAAUGUGACUUGGCAAGGGCCUGGAGGCAGCUUUUGAGAAGCAGAUUUGGGGCAGUGCGGUGCUGUGUUAGAGAUUGGGUAUAUAGACACAGAUGAGACCUGUUUCUGCCCUCAAGGAUCUCACAGUCUAACUGCAGUCCUGUCAGGAAGACAGAAUAUCAUUCCCACAAUAUAGAUGAGGAAACUGGAGCCAAAAGUACUGUCUCGACUUCCCUCCGCCUCUUCACCCCCCACACUGUCUCCAUCAGAGUGUUGAGCAAGAAGCAAUCAUCUGUGGAAGGCAGCCUGGAAAAACUGCUCCCUGGAAUGGAGUCAGUCCUCUCUGGGCUCCUACUUGUGCAACUGAAACGGCAUCAGUGGGUCUGCAUCUAUGUUAGUUGCUGAUCUGAUGCUCUCUACCAAUCAGCAGUGGCCGCCUUUAUCUCUUAGAUAAUUCUUGACUUGGGGGAGAUUGUCUUCCUCCUUCUUCUCCCUGGAUUAUCUGAACAGAUAAGGGGACUGUAAAAUCCAGGGACCCGUGGAAACCUGGGAGGCUCCACAUGGUGGUGGAUGCUCACUGAACUCUAGAUUUAUAAACUAAUGAGCAUUGCUUAGUUCUUUGUAGUGGACAGAGUGUGUUCACAUGAGCAGAGAACAGUAUGCUUGUCAAUUCCCCCUCCCUUCCACAUUUACCAGCUCAGGAUUCCUGGAAAGGUCUGAAUCACCAAAGCUUAGGAUUGUUCUCUUCAUUUUUAGGCUUAAGCUAAAAGGGACAUAGAGAGGUCACCUGUCCCAGUGAUUAUCAAAUUUUGGUCUGUGACAGAGUUUUCACCGGUCCGAAAUGAAAUGAGAAAAAAAGGGAAGCAUGCUGAAUUUUUUUCGGGAAGCAUAAUGUAUUCAGUUUAAAGGAUUACUUUCGGAGGCAGGAGAUGUACUCAAAUAUUUAUUCUGAGGUUAUGGCUUGCUUAUUCUUUUCAUGAGCUGAUGAUGAGAGUGGAUGGUAGCUAGGCUUUUUAAAUGUCCUUAUUUGGCAAAAUAAAGAGUUGGCAACUUUACAGUGGUUCCUUACAUUUCGUUUUUUGAAAUUUAACUGGUCUAUGAAAUCAAAAAAUCUUGCCUCCAGGCAGGAUCUUCUUCAAACAGAUGAGACUCUAUCUCCCUGAUAAGGGCUCUUUGGGGCAGAUUUCUGAAAACCUGGAUUCUGAUCUCGUCACCACUGUUCUUUCCCUGUGGGUCCUUGGACCAUGACAAACUCACACGGAGUCUCAGUUUCCUCAUUUUUACACUGUGGGAGGUUUCUGCCUCCAGGAUAAGGUCACUGGCAGAGGAAUGUGUUCUCACUUCCUUGUCCUCUUUGUCAGGAAGUCUGAGACUCUCCCUUCUCUGAGGGGCUCUGGGAUCAGGCCUUGCUGGUUCCUAUUCCUAUAGUCAUUUUUGGGAAAUGAUGGAGGUCAUCUCUUAUGCUUGGAAAAGACAGAGAGGACUUGUAGUUUGAAAUAUGGGAGCAGCAAGAGGUAUAUUUUACAUUUGAGGUCUUGGCGUCCAGUGUUAAUCAUUUGGAAACACAGGUAUUAAAAAGCUCUUGCCAGCAGUUUUUGAAAUGGUGGACCUUCUUGAGCUCUCAAGAAUAUCAGCUGGAGCUUUUCUAAAUCUGGAGGCUCCUGGAGGCCUUAGAGUGUCUGGGUCUUCUACCUUCUGGAGAGUCAGGCCUGGAAUAGCAACAAAUAUGUGGGAAUCCCCAGGCAGCCCCAGCUGCCAGACUGAGACAUGUGGUUGGGUGUGCACAUGUGUGCAGACUUGUAGGAGAGAAAGCGUUUAGAGGAAAGGCAGUUUGAAAU